Molecule: ribosomal RNA, 429 nt
Filed under: Fusobacteriota bacterium
Lineage: Bacteria; Fusobacteriati; Fusobacteriota
Description: Fusobacteria bacterium partial 16S ribosomal RNA
Rfam family: Bacterial small subunit ribosomal RNA
Source: RNAcentral
UGGGGAAUAUUGCGCAAUGGGCGAAAGCCUGACGCAGCGACGCCGCGUGAGGGAUGAAGGUUUUCGGAUCGUAAACCUCUGUCAGAAGGGAAGAAACCGCACUGUGCUAAUCAGUAGUGCCUUGACGGUACCUUCAAAGGAAGCACCGGCUAACUCCGUGCCAGCAGCCGCGGUAAUACGGAGGGUGCAAGCGUUAAUCGGAAUUACUGGGCGUAAAGCGCACGUAGGCUGCUUUGUAAGUCAGGGGUGAAAUCCCACGGCUCAACCGUGGAACUGCCUUUGAUACUGCUUAGCUUGAAUCCGGGAGAGGGUGGCGGAAUUCCAGGUGUAGGAGUGAAAUCCGUAGAUAUCUGGAGGAACAUCAGUGGCGAAGGCGGCCACCUGGACCGGUAUUGACGCUGAGGUGCGAAAGCGUGGGGAGCAAACAGG